AUCUGAUUAAGUUUGAGUUCUUAUUUGGACGCAGCCUGAACGUUGUGAAACACUGGAAUGGAUGAAUGAGAAAAGAGAUGGCCUUGCUUUCUCAAGCAGUUUUGGAGAAUGGGAAGCAUUUUCAUUGAUCUGUGUGGCUUUAAAACUACUUCAAGGGAUCUCUUUCAAUGUUGACUACAUCCCUGGAGAUACAAGAAGAAGAAUCCUAUUCCCACAGAAAGACCAACCUAGGAAAAAGCAACUUAUGACAUUGAUCAGAGAUGAGAAGACCUCUGUUGCAAGGGUCCAGCAGUCUCCAAAGACCUUGGAGAAGAUAUACAAGGCCACUCCUGUGGGCUGCUUGACAUGUGGUGUCCUGUGGGGGUGGAGUGACCACCCUAGGCAUCAGCAGUGAGGGUAGGAGUCACACAGGGUGAAGGACCUGCCACCACCCUGUUCCCUGGGGUUCUCUAGACCAGAGAUAGUCCUACUGUGGGAACACUGCCCUGCCCACACACAUGUGAUUCAAGUCCAGGGGAGGAGGGGUGGUGACCCCAGAACCCUGAAUAACCCUAUAUUCUACAUGAGCGAGUCACCCAAAAUCAAUAUGUCUGCACUGCUCAGGCAAUCCAAUUUUGCAUGAUCCUGCCAAAAAACACUUCUCUGGCCAGUGGGAGUGAUCUAGUCACAGGCCCCAGACAAUCACAGAG
This 689-nucleotide long non-coding RNA is filed under the name Dasypus novemcinctus (nine-banded armadillo). RNAcentral's name for it is "lncRNA (ENSDNOG00000050690.1)". Lineage: Eukaryota; Metazoa; Chordata; Mammalia; Cingulata; Dasypodidae. The record is from RNAcentral.